Molecule: long non-coding RNA, 880 nt
Filed under: Pogona vitticeps (central bearded dragon)
Lineage: Eukaryota; Metazoa; Chordata; Lepidosauria; Squamata; Agamidae
Description: lncRNA (ENSPVIG00000005444.1)
Source: RNAcentral
UUAGGAGUCCCAGCGCUUUGAGGACCAGAGUAGUUUCAGUGCCUUGUUCUCUAAUUAGUUCUGUGUGUCAGUCGCUUUCUCUUCUGGUAUCAGAGUGGAUAAGGAUGUCUUUUGUAUACUGCUGGACUCUCAUCAAGCACUUGUUUUGUUUAGAUUACUCUUUUAAUUAACUUUGUGAUGCAAGGUUCAAUUCAUCCUUAGCCCCUGCUGAAAGGAACUGACUUCAUUUCAAUGUCAAGAGUGGCUUGAGAGACCCAGAUCUCUGUUUUUGAGACAAAUGGGCUGUUUGGGGAUUAGAUUAGCCUUUGAUUUGGUUUCUGAGACCAAUUUUCUCUUUCUGCCCCACGAAGUGAAUGUUUACUCAGCUUUCUGAUUACAGCAGCAACUCCAAAGAGGUGGCAUCCAUGAGCUGCUAAUGAAAAACACCACUCCCAUAAUCCUGGAAAGAACAGGUGAUGGCAAUAACUGGAUCUGGUCAUCCUGGCCUGCUCAGAUAGCAAACCAGAAAUUGGAAGGAUGAUCAAGAAGAGGCCUGGCCUAGGCACCAGAAAGUGUCCUGUCAGCAGGGAUUCCAGAGCACAAAUUGCAUCUGGGCUGCAGACACUCCAGGAGAUAUGGACUUCAGGAAUACAGUCCAUGAGAAGUUUAGUUUCCUGUUCUCUGUGAUGGCUCUGCGGAAGAUGAAUGCAUUUAUGUUUGUUAGGGAGUCACACUGCACACUCCAAGCUUCUUUCCUUUCUCCUCCCAUACCUCACAUGUGGAGGUCAUACUUCUCCCAUUGAUCAGUAAUGAUGGUUGCAUAGCAUUUUUAACUGGUCAGCUGCAAGCAAAAAAUAAUAAUAAUAAUAAAGUAUAUGCCUUUUUCUGAGAUGAAGGAGAG